UUCACGCCAGUAGCGCACGUAGCGAAAAACCGCUGGUAACGCUCAACUGUGCGGCACUCAACGAAUCCUUGCUGGAAUCUGAAUUGUUCGGUCACGAAAAAGGGGCGUUUACUGGAGCCGAUAAACGCCGGGAAGGGCGCUUUGUUGAGGCGGACGGCGGCACGUUGUUUCUCGAUGAAAUUGGCGAUAUCUCGCCGAUGAUGCUGGUGCGUCUGCUGCGUGCGAUUCAGGAGCGCGAAGUUCAGCGUGUCGGUAGCAACCAGACUAUUUCGGUUGAUGUCCGGCUGAUUGCCGCGACCCAUCGCGAUCUUGCCGCAGAGGUGAAUGCCGGGCGUUUUCGCCAGGAUCUCUACUAUCGCCUGAACGUGGUGGCGAUUGAAGUACCAUCGCUGCGGCAACGGCGGGAAGAUAUUCCUCUGCUGGCUGGCCAUUUUCUGCAGCGCUUUGCUGAACGUAAUCGCAAGGCGGUAAAAGGCUUUACGCCCCAGGCGAUGGAUCUGUUGAUUCAUUACGACUGGCCGGGAAAUAUUCGUGAACUGGAAAAUGCGGUGGAACGGGCGGUGGUGCUGCUGACUGGGGAAUAUAUUUCCGAACGCGAGCUGCCGCUGGCGAUUGCCAGUACGCCGAUCCCGCUGGCACAAAGCCUGGAUAUUCAGCCGCUGGUGGAAGUCGAAAAAGAAGUGAUUCUGGCGGCACUGGAGAAAACGGGCGGCAACAAAACCGAAGCCGCCCGUCAGUUAGGGAUCACGCGCAAAACGCUGUUGGCAAAAUUGUCGCGUUAGUUCUGCUCGCGUUCGAUAGCGCGCCAGCCGAUAUCUUUCCGGCAGAAGCAGUCGUCCCAGUGGAUAUCGGUCAUUAAGGCAUAGGCGCGUUUCUGUGCUUCUGCUACGGUAUGACCCAGCGCGGUGACGCACAGUACGCGCCCGCCGCUGGUUACCACCUGCUCGUCAUCCGCCAGUUUUGUGCCCGCGUGGAACACUUUGCCGUCUUCCACUUCUUCCAGCGGCAGGCCGUGGAUCACGUCACCGGUGCGGUAAUCGCCCGGAUAUCCACCCGCAGCCAUCACCACGCCGAGAGAAGCACGUUCAUCCCACUCUGACGUUUUCUCGUCUAGUUUGCCUUCACAGGCCGCCAGGCAGAGUUCAACAAGAUCGGACUUCAUGCGCAGCAUAAUCGGCUGGGUUUCUGGAUCGCCAAAGCGGCAGUUAAAUUCGAUAACCUUCGGAUUGCCCUGUUUGUCGAUCAUCAGGCCCGCGUAGAGAAAACCGGUGUAGGUGUUGCCUUCCGACGCCAUGCCUUUCACGGUUGGCCAGAUGAUACGUUCCAUCGUGCGCUGAUGAACGUCAUCUGUCACUACCGGCGCAGGAGAGUAAGCGCCCAUUCCGCCCGUGUUCGGCCCGGUAUCUUUAUCGCCUACGCGUUUGUGAUCCUGGCUGGUGGCCAUCGGCAGCACAUGCUCGCCGUCCACCAUCACGAUAAAGCUCGCUUCUUCGCCGUCGAGGAACUCUUCGAUAACGAUGCGAUGACCCGCGUCGCCAAACGCGUUGCCCGCCAGCAUAUCGUGAACAGCCGCUUCCGCUUCUUCCAGCGUCAUCGCCACGAUAACGCCUUUCCCGGCAGCCAGACCGUCCGCUUUAAUGACGAUUGGCGCGCCUUUCUCACGCAGAUACGCCAGCGCAGGUUCUACCUCGGUGAAGUUCUGAUAUUCCGCCGUAGGAAUGUUAUGGCGGGCCAGGAAAUCUUUAGUAAACGCUUUCGAGCCUUCCAGCUGUGCGGCGCCUGCGGUUGGGCCGAAGAUUUUCAUCCCGGCGGCGCGGAAGGUAUCGACCACGCCUUUCACCAGCGGCGCUUCCGGGCCGACGAUGGUUAGAUCUACCUUUUCGUUUUGCGCGAAAUCCAGCAGCGCCGGGAUAUCGGUCACGCCGAUAGCGACGUUUUGCAGCGUGGGUUCCAGCGCUGUGCCUGCGUUACCCGGAGCAACAAAAACAGUCUCAACCAGCGGCGACUGGGCCGCUUUCCAGGCCAGCGCGUGCUCGCGCCCGCCGUUACCAAUCACUAAUACUUUCAUCUGUCGCUCCAUUAAUGGCGGAAGUGGCGCAUAUCGGUGAAGAGCAUCGCAAUACCGUGCUCGUCGGCGGCGGCAAUCACUUCGUCAUCACGGAUGGAACCGCCAGGCUGGAUUACGCAGGUCACGCCCGCAGCGGCGGCGGCAUCAAUACCGUCGCGGAACGGGAAGAACGCGUCAGAAGCCAUCGAGGAACCUUUCACUUCCAGGCCUUCAUCGGCAGCUUUAAUACCGGCGAUUUUCGCGGAGUACACGCGGCUCAUCUGGCCCGCGCCAAUACCGAUGGUCAUAUUGUUUUUGGCAUAGACGAUAGCAUUGGAUUUCACGAACUUCGCCACUUUCCAGCAGAACAGCGCAUCACGCAGUUCCUGUUCGGUCGGCUGACGUUUGGUGACGACGCGCAGUUCUUCCGCACCGACCAUGCCCAGAUCGCGAUCCUGAACCAGCAGACCGCCGUUCACGCGUUUGAAAUCAAGACCCGGAACACGCUCGCCCCACUGACCGCAGGUCAGAACGCGUACAUUCUGUUUGGCGGCGGUGAUUUUCAGGGCUUCUUCGCUGGCGGACGGCGCAAUAAUCACUUCAACAAACUGACGAGAAAUGAUGGCCUGUGCGGUUUCCGCAUCCAGCUCGCGGUUAAAGGCAAUGAUGCCGCCGAAUGCGGAGGUCGGGUCGGUUUUGUACGCGCGAUCGUAAGCAUCAAGAAUUGAAUUGCCGAUAGCCACGCCGCAAGGGUUGGCGUGCUUCACAAUCACACAUGCCGGCUCGGCGAACUCUUUCACGCACUCCAGCGCCGCAUCGGUAUCGGCGAUGUUGUUAUAAGAGAGGGCUUUACCCUGAACCUGGGUUGCGGUAGCAACGGAGGCUUCUUUCACAUUCUCUUCUAUAUAGAAGGCAGCCUGCUGGUGGCUGUUCUCGCCGUAACGCAUAUCCUGCUUCUUAAUGAAGUUCAGGUUCAGCGUGCGUGGGAAGCGACCGGCGGCUUCUUUGCUUUCACCGUGAUAAGCCGGAACCAUGCUGCCGAAGUAGUUGGCAAUCAUGCUGUCGUAGGCGGCAGUGUGUUCGAAGGCUUUGAUGGCGAGGUCGAAACGGGUUGCAAGCGUCAGCGAUCCUUCGUUGUCAUCCAUCUCUUUAAUAAUGGCGUCGUAGUCGCUGCUCUUCACCACGAUUGCGACAUCUUUAUGGUUCUUGGCGGCGGAGCGCACCAUCGUUGGGCCGCCGAUAUCGAUGUUCUCAACCGCAUCUUCCAGCGAGCAACCUUCACGGGCCACGGUCUGGGCGAACGGAUACAGGUUAACAACCACCAUAUCGAUAGGCUGGAUCUGAUGUUCUUCCAUAAUGGCAUCGUCCUGGCCGCGACGGCCCAGAAUGCCACCAUGUACUUUCGGAUGCAGGGUCUUCACGCGUCCAUCCAUCAUCUCCGGGAAACCGGUGUAAUCGGAAACUUCGGUUACCGGCAGACCUUUUUCUGCUAACAGACGGGCAGUGCCCCCUGUAGACAGCAGCUCCACACCGCGUGCGGAAAGUGCCUGGGCGAAUUCGACGAUACCGGCUUUGUCAGAAACACUGAGCAGAGCGCGGCGGACUGGACGACGUUGUUGCAUGGUAAAUCCCCUGGAUUUGACUAUUACAGAGAGCGUUAGCUGAAUUUUUCGCGAAAAACUCAGCUAACGCCCCUAACGGGGCAUCCUUAUUUUUCGCCCGCAUUGUAACGAAAACGUUUGCGCAACGCUCGCGAAUUUUUUUAAUUCGAUGGCGAUCACGAUUUUGCCCCCGAUUAGCGUGGGAGAAAUAGAGAAAUAACGCUGAUGAUUGUGGAUAACUCUGUGCGUAAAAAGGUAUAAAGCGGGGUUUUGCUGGGGAAUGCAGCAGUCAGUCAUUUUUCUGCAAUUUUUCUAUUGCGGCCUGCGGAGAACUCCCUAUAAUGCGCCUCCAUCGACACGGCGGAUGUGAAUCACUUCACACAAACAGCCGGUUCGGUUGAAGAGAAAAAUUCUGAAAUUCAGGGUUGACUCUGAAAGAGGAAAGCGUAAUAUACGCCACCUCGCGACAGUGAGCUGAAAGCCGCGUCGCAACUGCUCUU
This 4148-nucleotide ribosomal RNA is filed under the name Escherichia coli ATCC 700728. Its description in RNAcentral is "partial 23S ribosomal RNA". The record is from RNAcentral. Lineage: Bacteria; Pseudomonadati; Pseudomonadota; Gammaproteobacteria; Enterobacterales; Enterobacteriaceae.